GAUGAAGAACGUAGCGAAAUGCGAUAAGUAAUGUGAAUUGCAGAAUUCCGUGAAUCAUCGAAUCUUUGAACGCAUAUUGCGCCCCCUGGUAUUCCGGGGGGCAUGCCUGUCCGAGCGUCAUUGCUGCCCUCAAGCACGGCUUGUGUGUUGGGCCUCCGUCCUCCUCCCGGGGGACGGGCCCGAAAGGCAGCGGCGGCACCGCGUCCGGUCCUCGAGCGUAUGGGGCUUCGUCACCCGCUCUUGUAGGCCCGGCCGGCGCUUGCCGAAACAUCAAUCUUUUUUCCAGGUUGACCUCGGAUCAGGUAGGGAUACCCGCUGAACUUAAGCAUAUCAAUAAGCGGAGGA
RNAcentral lists this unclassified non-coding RNA (345 nucleotides) under soil metagenome. Its description in RNAcentral is "partial contains 5.8S ribosomal RNA, internal transcribed spacer 2, and large subunit ribosomal RNA". The stretch from base 1 to 120 matches the Rfam family "5.8S ribosomal RNA", at positions 35 to 154 of the family's 154-position model. The record is from RNAcentral.